GCUUGUCUCAAAGAUUAAGCCAUGCAUGUCUAAGUACAAGCCUCAGUAAGGUGAAACCGCGAAUGGCUCAUUAAAUCACACCUAAUCUACUGGAAAGUUACUAGUUACUUGGAUAACUGAGGUAAUUCUUGAGCUAAUACAUGCGAAAAAUCUCGACUCACGGAGAGAUGCUUUUAUUAGAUCAAAACCAAACGGCUUCGGCCGUCUCAUUGGUGACUCUGAAUAACUUUGCGAAUCGCAUGGCCUUGUGCCGGCGAUGAAUCAAUCAAAUUUCUGCCCUAUCAACUUUCGAUGGUACGGUAUUGGCCUACCAUGGUUACAACGGGUAACGGGGAAUUAGGGUUCGGUUCCGGAGAGGGAGCCUGAGAAAUGGCUACCACAUCCAAGGAAGGCAGCAGG
RNAcentral lists this ribosomal RNA (399 nucleotides) under Crustacea environmental sample. RNAcentral describes it as "partial small subunit ribosomal RNA". It matches the Rfam family "Eukaryotic small subunit ribosomal RNA", at positions 30 to 432 of the family's 1831-position model. Lineage: Eukaryota; Metazoa; Arthropoda. The record is from RNAcentral.